This 509-nucleotide ribosomal RNA is filed under the name uncultured bacterium. RNAcentral's name for it is "bacterial SSU rRNA". It matches the Rfam family "Bacterial small subunit ribosomal RNA", at positions 24 to 518 of the family's 1533-position model. The record is from RNAcentral.
UCAGGACGAACGCUGGCGGCGUGCCUAACACAUGCAAGUCGAGCGGGGACAUACGACGGAUCGGAAGUUUCGGAUGGAAGAGAAGAUGUAUGUUCUAGCGGCGGACGGGUGAGUAACGCGUGAGCAACCUGUCCUUCACAGGGGGAUAACACAGCGAAAGUUGUACUAAUACCGCAUGAGACCACACUGGGACAUCCCAGAGGGGUCAAAGGAGCAAUCCGGUGAAGGGUGGGCUCGCGUCCGAUUAGAUAGUUGGUGAGGUAACGGCCCACCAAGUCGACGAUCGGUAGCCGACCUGAGAGGGUGAUCGGCCACAUUGGGACUGAGACACGGCCCAAACUCCUACGGGAGGCAGCAGUGGGGAAUAUUGGGCAAUGGGGGAAACCCUGAACCCCCAGCAACGCCGCGUGAGGGAAGAAGGUUUUCGGAUCGUAAACCUCUGUCCUUGGUGAAGAGUGAGAGACGGUAGCCAAGGAGGAAGCCCCGGCUAACUACGUGCCAGCAGCUGC